GAUAAACGCUGGCGGCGUGCCUAACACAUGCAAGUCGAACGAUCCCGCAAGGGAGAGUGGCGGAAGGGUGAGUAACACGUGGGAAUCUACCUCCUCGCAGGGAACAACCUCUCGAAAGAGAGGCUAAUACCCAAAGAGUCAGAAAUGAUCAGAGUCGAACGGCGUGAGGAGAGGAGCCCGCGGCCCAUCAGCUAGUUGGUGAGGUAAUGGCUUACCAAGGCUACGACGGGUAGGGGAUCUGAGAGGAUGUCCCCCACACUGGAACUGAAACACGGUCCAGACGCCUACGGGUGGCAGCAGUGAGGAAUAUUGGACAAUGGGCGAAAGCCCGAUCCAGCAACGCCGCGUGGAGGAUGAAGGCCUUCGGUCGUAACUUACUUUAGUAGGGAGACGAGAAAGGACGGUAUCCCUAGAAUAAGCGACGGCAAACUAACGU
RNAcentral lists this ribosomal RNA (436 nucleotides) under uncultured bacterium. Its description in RNAcentral is "bacterial SSU rRNA". It matches the Rfam family "Bacterial small subunit ribosomal RNA", at positions 28 to 506 of the family's 1533-position model. The record is from RNAcentral.